CUGAUGGCUUUGGAGACUGAAGUCCGCUGCUUAGCCACAGAACAGUUACAGCCACGGCAGCAACAGUGUAAGCUUCCUAAGUGACUGAGUGAGGGCAAGUCAUCACUGAGCAUUUCUAAAGAUCGUGGGGGUGUCCUCAUAGACUCAUAGACUCUAGGACUGGAAGGGACCUUGAGAGGUCAUCGAGUCCAGUCCCCU
Molecule: small RNA, 198 nt
Filed under: Gopherus agassizii (Agassiz's desert tortoise)
Lineage: Eukaryota; Metazoa; Chordata; Testudines; Testudinidae
Description: TUC338 (ENSGAGG00000021875.1)
Source: RNAcentral